Molecule: ribosomal RNA, 722 nt
Filed under: uncultured delta proteobacterium
Lineage: Bacteria; Deltaproteobacteria
Description: bacterial SSU rRNA
Rfam family: Bacterial small subunit ribosomal RNA
Source: RNAcentral
ACAUGCAAGUCGAACGAGAAAUUCCGAUUCGUCGGGAGAGUAAAGUGGCGAACGGGUGAGUAACGUGAGGGUAAUCUUCCCUUAAAUUAGGAAUAACCUUGCGAAAGCGAAGCUAAUUCCUGAUAAGACUACGAUCUGUUAGCAGAUAGUAGUAAAAGAUGGCCUCUGUUUUAAGCUAUUGUUUAAGGAUGAGCCCUCAUACUAUUAGCUAGUUGGUGAGGUAAUGGCUCACCAAGGCGACGAUUGUUAGCUGGUCUAAGAGGAUGGCCAGCCACACUGGAACUGAAACACGGUCCAAACUCCUACGGGAGGCAGCAGUGAGGAAUAUUGCGCGAUGGGGGAAACCCUGACGCAGUGACGCCGCGUGAGUGAUGAAGGCCUUCGGGUUGUAAAGCUCUGUUAAGUGGAAAGAACCAUUCUAGUGAUAAUACCACUGGAAUCUGACGGUACCACUAGAGGAAGCACCGGGCUAACUCCGUGCCAGCAGCCGCGGUAAUACCGGAUGGUGCAAGCGUUGUGCGGAAUUAUUGGGCGUAAAGAGCGUGUAGGCGGUUAGACAAGUCAGAUGUGAAAUCCCUUAGCUCAACUGAGGAAGUGCGUUUGAAACUGUCUGACUAGAGUACAGGAGAGGAAAGUGGAAUUCCCAGUGUAGAGGUGAAAUUCAUAGAUUUUGGGGAGGAACACCGGUGGCGAAGGCGGGUUUCUGGCCUGAUACUGACGCU